AUUGAACGCUGGCGGCAUGCUUUACACAUGCAAGUCGAAUGGCAGCGCGGGCUUCGGCCUGGCGGCGAGUGGCGAACGGGUGAGUAAUACAUCGGAACGUGCCCAGUAGUGGGGGAUAGCUCGGCGAAAGCCGGAUUAAUACCGCAUACGACCUGAGGGUGAAAGCGGGGGAUCUUCGGACCUCGCGCUAUUGGAGCGGCCGAUGGCAGAUUAGCUAGUUGGUGGGGUAAAGGCCUACCAAGGCGACGAUCUGUAGCUGGUCUGAGAGGACGACCAGCCACACUGGGACUGAGACACGGCCCAGACUCCUACGGGAGGCAGCAGUGGGGAAUUUUGGACAAUGGGCGAAAGCCUGAUCCAGCAAUGCCGCGUGUGUGAUGAAGGCCUUCGGGUUGUAAAGCACUUUUGGCGGGAACGAAAAGGACUGUGCCAAUACCACGGUUCGAUGACGGUACCCGCAGAAUAAGCACCGGCUAACUACGUG
RNAcentral lists this ribosomal RNA (484 nucleotides) under uncultured bacterium. RNAcentral's name for it is "partial 16S ribosomal RNA". It matches the Rfam family "Bacterial small subunit ribosomal RNA", at positions 29 to 507 of the family's 1533-position model. The record is from RNAcentral.